UCCCCUCCUUCCUCACCAGUCCCCACCGCCGCCACGAACUCCUGCUCCGACACGAACUCUGCUCAAGCCCGCCCCCAUGGUUCCCGUCAUCGGCAUGGACUCUUUGCCCGUUCCGCAAGCCGCAAAAGGACUCGAGUCCCUCGAUCCAAAUCCCAGAUCAGACCGGGUCGCGGCGGCGCCACGACAGGUUGCCGGCCUGCUGUCCUCCUCACGGGACAAGCUGCGUUCGCGGUGCGCUCUCGCUGCCUGCCGGCUUCGACGGCGUGGGCCGUGGCGCCGCUCUUCCGCAGAUCAGCAAUCGAGUCGUGCUUCCAAUCUGCCGUCUCCCCUCGACGUCCACGGCUCUGUACUCUGCCGUGUUCUCCCCUAGCGCAGGCUGAGGGGCGCUACGCCGCUAUCUGCCGGCUCCUCAUACAAGAGCGAUGGACGGCAAACUGAGCCCUGUGGGAAACAAUUGCAUCAGCUCAGCGACGUCCAGCGUAUCUCCUCUCCAUGUUUCUUUGCACGCCUCAUCUCCAAGCACGAAGCCACGACGAGAUGGUCUGGUCUUGGUACUAUGUUGAUAGCGAGGGUGCAAGGCUCAAGGGAAGCAGCCGGUUCUGUAGUUCUUUGUAUGCUUAUGGUAUCUUGGAUGAGGGUUACAAAUUCAACAUGUCAGUUGAGGAAGCUGCUGAGUUAGCAUGGCGGGCUUUUAUCACGCAAUAUUCUGUGACAGAGCUAGUGGUGGCUGUGUUCCUGGUGGGCUUGACAGACCAGUUUUUAUCCGGAAGAAAGGCCUUUAGCGUGCGUUUGGAUCUGAAGAAAUAAAGCAAGAUAUGGCUGUCAUUCCUCCUAACUUGGCUAGUUACUAGUAUCUCCUUGAUCCUUUGAUAAGGUGUUUGAUGAGUUCAAUGCAAUGAAACAGAUGAGCUGAACAUAUUCAAGGUUUCUAGCGGGAAUCACUUCUUCGUGGCCAUUCUGGCGAUAAUGGUUGUACUCCAGGUAAAAAAACAAAUACUAUAAUUCUUCUAUUCCACAUAUGUAGUAGUUUCGGUUAUUGUUAAAUGUUGUUUCCUUUGUAUAUAUGCAAGCUCUUAUCCUCGAGUUUCCUUGGCAAGUUAACUUCAACAAUCAUGUUAAGCUGGCACCUAUGGUUGGUGCUGAUGGGAGUUGCUCGUUUAGGUGCUGAUGGUCCAAGAAUUGUAAAGAUGAGGCAGGGGAACCUUAUUUGUGUGGUGGAUGCAAUUAUGUUAUGAGGUCAAUUUGUAACUUAUUAUACUACAGUUAUGGACCAAGCCAUGAAUCAGAACCAAAAUUCAGGAUUGGUGAGAAGAAACGUGAACUUGUAAUGUUUUUAGUACCCUAAUCUUGACUUGUUGCUGAUGGACGACAAUGUUCAAGCUCGGCACAUACUGUUGAACAGCUAAAAUUAUUGGAUCUCAAGACACCUGCAAAUUAUGCAGUUGGAAGAAAGUUCAGAGAUGUGUCGAGUCUUGGCAUUCCCAA
Molecule: RNA transcript, 1485 nt
Organism: Triticum aestivum (bread wheat)
Lineage: Eukaryota; Viridiplantae; Streptophyta; Magnoliopsida; Poales; Poaceae
Gene name: proteasome subunit beta type-5-B
Exons: 5
Source: RefSeq, a predicted model, not a curated record